Long non-coding RNA from Zeugodacus cucurbitae (melon fly), 667 nucleotides. RefSeq lists it as uncharacterized. The transcript has 3 exons. Lineage: Eukaryota; Metazoa; Arthropoda; Insecta; Diptera; Tephritidae. The record is from RefSeq and is a predicted model, not a curated record.
UCUCGGGUUAUAGUAAUAUAGAUACAUAUUUAUGGACUUUCAAAUGUGUGUUCUUCACUUGACGCUGCAACAUCGUAGAAAUACUCAAGCAACCUAGUACUUGAAGAAAUCGAGGUUACCGGCAAGUGCAUUCGCGGCAGCGCUUUUGUUAAAAGGACUUUUUGGUAACUGUAACCGGUGUUAAGAUGUUCCAAUUAAAAUUUAAAUCACACCCCAACAAUGCAGCUCUGCACCCGUUCUUCCAUUUCUACAGAUCUGUCAAAUCAGCAACGAAAAGACUAAACGGAAGCUGUGAAAUGAACAAUUGCGAAUUUCAGAUUUGAAAUUUGAAAUUAUGUUAAAAGUUUGCGUUUAAAAGUUGUUAAAUUAUAGUUAAUAACUAGCAAAAUGUCGUGUCCGGGACGUUUAAAUGCCGCGUUCGGUACGUUAAAAUGUCGCGUUCGGUACGUGCGUCGCGUUAUUCGGGUUAUCCUAAUAGACAUUUCGCCAAUUUAAAUUCCAAUAGGAGCGCCAGCCUAAUGCUUUUUGAAUUUUUGUGUAAAUAUGAAUAGCAAAGGCAGCCGCAAAUAUAAGCGUAUGUUCUAGAAACAGUUGUCACCACCGGCUAGCGCACUCGCGGCAAGGCUUUGUUUGUGUGGGUAAGUCUGUUCGGUUUCCACUAUUAGUG